CAUUCACGGAGAGUUUGAUCCUGGCUCAGGACGAACGCUGGCGGCGUGCUUAACACAUGCAAGUCGAACGAUGAAGCCUUUCGGGGUGGAUUAGUGGCGAACGGGUGAGUAACACGUGGGCAAUCUGCCCUUCACUCUGGGACAAGCCCUGGAAACGGGGUCUA
RNAcentral lists this ribosomal RNA (164 nucleotides) under Streptomyces sp. SID8016. RNAcentral's name for it is "partial 16S ribosomal RNA". It matches the Rfam family "Bacterial small subunit ribosomal RNA", at positions 1 to 165 of the family's 1533-position model. The record is from RNAcentral. Lineage: Bacteria; Bacillati; Actinomycetota; Actinomycetes; Kitasatosporales; Streptomycetaceae.